GGCGCACGGGUGAGUAACGCGUAUACAAUCUGCCUUGUACUGAGGGAUAGCCCAGAGAAAUUUGGAUUAAUACCUCAUAGCAUAUAGACUUCACCUGGAGAUUAUAUUAAAGGUUACGGUACAAGAUGAGUAUGCGUUCUAUUAGCUAGAUGGUAAGGUAACGGCUUACCAUGGCAACGAUAGAUAGGGGCCCUGAGAGGGGGAUCCCCCACACUGGUACUGAGACACGGACCAGACUCCUACGGGAGGCAGCAGUGAGGAAUAUUGGACAAUGGGCGAGAGCCUGAUCCAGCCAUGCCGCGUGCAGGAUGACUGCCCUAUGGGUUGUAAACUGCUUUUAUACAGGAAGAAACACUUCUUCGUGAGGGAGCUUGACGGUACUGUAAGAAUAAGGAUCGGCUAACUCCGUGCCAGCAGCCGCGGUAAUACGGAGGAUCCAAGCGUUAUCCGGAAUCAUUGGGUUUAAAGGGUCCGUAGGUGGAUAAUUAAGUCAGAGGUGAAAUCCUGCAGCUCAACUGUAGAAUUGCCUUUGAUACUGGUUAUCUUGAGUUAUUAUGAAGUAGUUAGAAUAUGUGGUGUAGCGGUGAAAUGCAUAGAUAUCACAUAGAAUACCAAUUGCGAAGGCAGAUUACUAAUAAUAUACUGACACUGAUGGACGAAAGCGUGGGGAGCGAACAGGAUUAGAUACCCUGGUAGUCCACGCCGUUUACGAUGGUUACU
This 720-nucleotide ribosomal RNA is filed under the name Gelidibacter sp. AD-H3. Its description in RNAcentral is "bacterial SSU rRNA". It matches the Rfam family "Bacterial small subunit ribosomal RNA", at positions 97 to 817 of the family's 1533-position model. The record is from RNAcentral. Lineage: Bacteria; Pseudomonadati; Bacteroidota; Flavobacteriia; Flavobacteriales; Flavobacteriaceae.